Molecule: ribosomal RNA, 913 nt
Filed under: uncultured marine archaeon
Lineage: Archaea
Description: bacterial SSU rRNA
Rfam family: Archaeal small subunit ribosomal RNA
Source: RNAcentral
UUCCGGUUGAUCCUGCCGGAGGCUACCGCUAUUGGAGUUCGAUUAAGCCAUGCGAGUCGCGAGUCUUAGGGACUCGGCGUACCGCUCAGUAACACGUGGGUAACCUGCCCUAUGCUGGGGGAUAACCUCGGGAAACUGAGAAUAAUACCCCAUAGUUCACCACGCCUGGAACGGUGGGUGGACCAAAGCUCCGGCGGCAUAGGAUGGGCCUGCGGCGUAUCAGGUUGUAGGGGGUGUAAUGUACCCUCUAGCCCUCUACGCGUACGGGUGUUGAGAGACAUCGCCCGGAGAUGGAUUCUGAGACACGAAUCCAGACCCUACGGGGUGCAGCAGGCGCGAAAACUUGGCAAUGCGAGAAAUCGUGACCAGGGAACUCCAAGUGCAUCGGGUAAGACCGAUGCUUUUCUUGACUCUUCAAAGGUCUUGGAAUAAGGGGUGGGUAAGGACGGUGCCAGCCGCCGCGGUAAUACCGGCGCCCCAAGUGGUAGUCGCUUUUAUUGGGCCUAAAACGUCCGUAGCCGGUCUGGUACAUUCGUGGGUAAAUCAACCAGCUCAACUGGUUGAAUUCUGCGAGCACGGCCAGACUUGGGACCGGGAGAGGUGUGGGGUACUCUCAGGGUAGGGGUAAAAUCCUGUCAUCCUGAGAGGACCACCUGUUGCGAAGGCGCCACACUAGAACGGAUCCGACGGUCAGGGACGAAGCCUAGGGGCACGAACCGGAUUAGAUACCCGGGUAGUCCUAGGUGUAAACGCUGUGGACUUGAUGUUGGGGGCGCUCCGAGCGCACUCAGUGUCGAAGCGAAGGUGAUAAGUCCACUGCCUGGGGAGUACGGUCGCAAGGCUGAACUUAAAGGAAUUGGCGGGGGAGCACCGCAACCUGAGGAUUGUGCGGUUUAAUUGGAUUCAACGCCGG